AGGCAUUUCAGUUGAGUUUAAUCAUUAAGUAGAACACAAGUAGCAUGUGCCAAGCAGCAGUGCCAGAGCAUAAGGACUUACUAUAACGGGGGCUCUUCAGCUCAACUGAACUGCCCUUUUAGAAACCAGGUACAAUU
This 137-nucleotide small nucleolar RNA is filed under the name Procavia capensis (Cape rock hyrax). The record is from RNAcentral. Lineage: Eukaryota; Metazoa; Chordata; Mammalia; Hyracoidea; Procaviidae.